RNAcentral lists this long non-coding RNA (1205 nucleotides) under Penaeus japonicus. RNAcentral describes it as "uncharacterized LOC122261003, transcript variant X1". The record is from RNAcentral. Lineage: Eukaryota; Metazoa; Arthropoda; Malacostraca; Decapoda; Penaeidae.
AGUCUUAUCCGUACCUGAAACAGGAGAGGAAACGUGACGCCUUUCACGCGGUAUUGAAUAUUAUCAACAAAAAAGGAGACGUGAAAAAGAUCAACAUGAAAGUAUAUACUUUGUUCCUGAUACUGAUCGUGUUCCUGUCAUCGGUUCUCGAAGUGAACACCCAAGUUAUCACACGUACGAGGAACUUCCCCGGAGAACGGCGUCUCGGCAGCAUUAAUUAUGGUCAAUAUAAAUUCGGAAAGAGAGGAUACCAAAGGAAACGGAAUCCAAACAGCCCUAACCCACCGAGAAGAGUGCUUGGGUAAAUAUUCCUCCAGCAUCAAGAACCAAGAACCAAGAACCACGAACCACGUUGUCCCAUGACUCUUUCAGAAGCACAGCCAGGAACCUUGAUGAUGAUGACUUGAAGGAUCACCUUGAUGAUUACUUGAAGGAUCACCUUGAGGGUACUUUGAAGGAUGACCUUGAUAAUAUUUUGAAGGAUGACUUUGAUGACUUGAAGGAUGACCUUGAUAAUAUUUUGAAGGAUGACCUUGAUAAUACUUUGAAGGAUGACCUUGAUGAUACUUUGAAGGAUCACCUUUGUGAUGACUUGAAGGAUGACCUUAAAGGUAAUUUGAGGGACAACCUUAACGAUGACGAAGGAUGAUGACCUUAAUGAUGACUUGAAGGAUUACCUUGAUGGCUACUUGAAGAAUAAUCUUGAUGUUAAGUUGGAAGAUAACCUUAGUGAUGACUGACUUGCAAUGUUUCUAAGGCUGUUGAUGCUUGAAGAAUCUUGAUGACUAACUAAUCAUGAUGUAAGUUGCAUCUACAGCCUAAGAUGCAACGAGUCUUUAAGGAUCAUUAUUGCAAAAUCAAUGUUGAUUUUGCAAGAUCGCUGAACUAACCUGGAAGAAAAUGUAGGCCUAAAUCUUGCUAGCGAAAAGAUAGGGUUAUAAUUCGCAAUUGGUGCUAUAAUUCCAACGCUUAGUAAAGUAUAUGUUAUAUUGCUGUUAAUAAUGUUAUAUUCUGUUACAUUCAGAUAUGUUUAUGCUGUUGAAUCGAUGUUGCCAUAACAAUGUAAUCUUGUUAUAUCAUAUAUCAUGCUUGUUAACUGUUUUGUAUCAUGCAAUUGAUCAAAGUGUUAUAUUCUCUAUUGUUAAUUGUUGAAACACAAUGCUUGUUAUACCAUGAGCUUGUUAGAAUAAAGAUAACAGUUAUCA